AGUGGGCUGUGUAACCUUGGCGUCGUUGUUUGUCAUGCGCUGGUCUGUAGCAAUUUGACCAAAGUCUGGGAUUACUCCAAGGCUGUUUGUCAGAAGUGUCAAAUCAGUAAGGAUAUGUGUUUGUCCCCUUCAUGCCACCGCGACUGGGGAUGAUUUUAUGGCAGGGCCACCUGCAUAUUUCCAUUUGUUCUCCUUUAAACUGGCAACGAGUCUUGUAUUCUGAAGCGAAUGUAAAUCCCACGACUAAGGAACAGCAAGAAGUAUUUUCUGCAUUAAUAUCUGAAAACACACGGGAGCCAAUUCAGUCAUUAUUGUGGUGAUGGAAGCGUGGAAGCCAUUUUACACCCGGUAAGGAUGAACAAGCAGAAAAACGACACUGACCUGAGUAUGAGAUCAUCAAGUAUGAAAACCAUACAAUUGACUAAUAGAAGGAUAUAUAUUUGAAGGCUUAGCAGCAUUUGUGGUAGGAAGGGAAUUGUCGACACUUUGGGUCAAAACUCUGCAUCGGCACUAAGGCAUUGAUGAUUCUUGUCCAGCUGCUAGAUCUGCUGAAUUCCUCCAGCAGGUUGUUCAAGUUUAAUUAUCAUUCAACCAUACGUGAGUAUCCAUGAACACAGCCAAACGAAACAACGUUCCUCCGGCGCCAAGGUGCAAAACACAGUACCAACAGUCAUUCGCAGCAUAAGCCACACCUCGCAGCAAUCCCUGUAUUUACUCUGAGCCUAACAACAGGACAAUUCACCAUGACCAAUUGACCUACCAAAUGGUACGUCUUUGGACUGUGGGAGGAAACUGGAGCACCCGAAGGAAACACACAAGGUCACUGGGAGAACGUACAAACUCUUUAAAGGCAGUAGUGGGAAUUGAACCCAGGUUGACUGUGCGGUAUAGUGUUGUACUAACCACAGUGCUACACAAUAGCGUAGAGGUUAACAUACAGUUUGUUGUGAAAUUUGUUGUUUUGUGGCAGCAGUACAAAAGACAACAUAAAACUUGCUAUAGGUUAUAAGAAGAAUAACAAGAUAGUCAUGGAACGUUCAGAAAUCUGAGGGCAGAGGGGUGGGGCCAUGUUCUUUUCGUGUUGCUCCCAUCAUGUAGAAGGUACAAGAACUUCAGGACUUGCAGCACUAGGUUCAAUAACAGCCUCAACCAUCAGGCACCUGAAUGAAAGGGGAUAGCCACACUCAACUUCAAUUACCCCAUCACUGAGAUGUUCCCACAAUUAAUGAUCUCACUUUAAUUACUCUUUGUCUGAUUUUCUCGUUAUUUAUCGCUAUUUAUUUAUAUUUGUAUUUGCACAGUUUGUUGUAUCCCGCACUGUGGUUGGUCUUUCAUUGAUCCUGUUACAGUUAUUAUUUGAUAGGUUUAUUGAGUAUGCCCACAGGAGAUUUAAUCUCAGGGCUGUAUAUGGUGACAUAUACAUACAUUCAUUGUAAAAUUUGAACUUAAAACUUUUGAUCUUUGGAAAAAGCUGUUCAGUUCUAUUUUUGGCCUCAUUGAGUCCAUUUUAUCUCCAAAUAAAUGUACGGAUACAAACUUAUGUAGUUUUAAUCAAGCCUUCCUCAACCUUUUACAGUCAAUGAGUGUUUUGGAAAUGUCAGUUAUAGUGUAACGAAUGUUCCUUGUUUCGAGCUGACAAUAGUUUGGAUCUAUUGGGUUUAGGUACAAUAUUAACAGCGUUAGUCUGCUAUUGAUGAUGCAGACUUUGCAUAACCUUUAGCUGCUGACACAACAAAAUAAAGCCAGGUGCAGGAGGUUUCUCUAGUCCCUUAUCAGCUAAUGCAAACCAGGAGUCAGAGAUCGGUUUCAUGCUAUCAUGUUACGGACUUGCUCUGUAGGUCUAAAUUCAUUCCUUCAGUUUUUCUGAUGAGUUAUAAGGCAUUGCUCAGACAAUAUAAACACGCGUUGGCUCACGAGGUGAGGGUACAGUAGGAUCCUGUGGAUAUUUACGCUUGUUUAUGUUCCAUCUGGUUGCCCAUUGCAGGGAGAGAUUUACCUACUCAAGUUUGAUACACAUCUUAAUGCAGCCAUACAGAAAGAUGGCCAUCAGGGUGAGGGCUUCACCUGGGUGUAGGUUUUCACCUUGUCUCUGGAGAAUUGCACCUCAUGUCCUGCCAGAAGUGAUCCAUGCAAUGGAGAGACUGUCCAGGUGAGAGCCACGGUGCAGAGGCGGAGAGCAGGCUAGCCUCACAUCACAGCCAGCAACAGCAGGAGCACCUUCCAAAUGAUUGUCGUAUUCUUGUUCACCAUUGGCAGGGAGGACUGCACCCACAUUCUCACCUUCUGCUUCCCUCCAAACAAUCCUGGGUGCUCCCAAGCAGAUCUUCAGCCCCUUCGGGCAAUCAGCCCUGUUGGUGAGUGAAUCAGUAAGCAGUUGUCUAAGACCAUGAUCUUGCUUCCAUUUGGGACUCUGGAGCCAAUGCUCAAGCCACACUGAUGAUGCAGAUGGACCACCUCUGUUCCCUUUCUCCUUUCUUUUGUCUCAUGGUCCACUGUCCUCUCCGAUUAGAUUCCUUCUUCUUCAUCUCCUCACCUCUUCCACCAUCACCUCCCAGCUUCUAAUUUUAUUGCACCCCCUGCCCCCACCUAUUCAAAUUCUCCCUCAGUUGGUUCCACCUAUCACCUGCCUCUUGUAUUAUUUUCCCUUCCCCACCUUCUUAUCCUGCCUUCUGUCCUGUUUCUUUCUAAUAUCAUCAUUGUUGCUGUCCAAAUAUUCCAGGGUUGUGGGAAGAGCAAAUGAGAUGGCAUCUGCUAUAAACCUGUUGCUUCAGUAGGCAAAUUGGAGCAGAUCCAAUUUGGUCAUGAAGCUGAUGUGUUUCUUGGUAGAUGAGGAGCAUUGGGUGCCCUGCCGCUCCUUGUCUUACUGAGCAGGAUGCAUCAAACACUGCACUACUCUCCGACUGCCAGUGCGUUGGAUCGAACACUGCGCUACUCUCUGCCUGCCAGUGCAUCACAUCAAACACUGCGCUACUCUCCGACUGCCAGUGCAUCACAUCAAACACUGCGCUACUCUCUGCCUGCCAGUGUGUUGCAUCAAACACUGCGCUACUCUCCACCUGCCAGUGUGUUGCAUCAGACACUGCGCUACUCUCCACCUGCCAGUGUGUUGCAUCAAACACUGCGCUACUCUCCGACUGCCAGUGCAAGGCCGCGUCAGGUUUUGAUACAAAAGAUUCUGCAAGUGCUGGAAGUUGCUGGAGAAACUUGGCAGGCCAGGCAACAUCUAUGGAGAAGAAUAAACAGUUGACGUUUUAGGCCAAGACACUGAAGCUGGUGGAUAUAGAAGUCUUUAUUCUGCAAAAUGAACAGCAGGCAUCAUAUAUGAGAUGCUCUUGGAAGAAGAGGUCUGCCUGACCCAAUAUCACAUGAUAUUUUUCUAUGCUAAAGAUCUAAGGUGACAGCAGGACAAUUCUAUAGUCACAAUGUAUCUACAAUGCUACCCUUGAAUUACAUAUAACUUUCAAACUUUUCCAACACUCCAGACAGCCAAAAUCAAUGUCUAUUUAGUUGCAUUCAAGCAUAUGCAGACAUUGCAAGUGAUCAACCCCAGUCUGCAGUUCCAGGAAGCCCCUUGUUCAGAGCUGUAUUUUAAAUUCAAUCUGCAAUCCACAUUCAAAUCUGAAGUAUUGGUGCUGUUGAAAUUAAAAAUUGCUGUAUACUCUAACUCCAGAAUGCACUGUAACAAUCCACUCUCCUCUCCUACCAGAUUCUUACUUCACCAGCUGUUUACCUGUCCUACCCACCUGCGUUCACCUAUCACCCUUCCCUCCCCCCCAGUAUUUUAUUCUGGUAUCUUCCCCCUUCCUUUCCAGUUCUGAAGAAGGGUCUCGACACAAAACAUCGACUGUUUAUUCAUUUCUGUAGAUGCUGCCUGACCUGCUGAGUUCCUCCAGCAUUUUGUGUGUUCCUUCGUUUGGGAAGGGUCAGAGUACAAAUUCCUUUGGUGACACAAGAGACUUCAGGUGCUGGAAUUGGAGGUAAAAUCAAGCUGCUGGAGGAACUCAGCAGGUCAGGAAGCAAAUUGGAUGUCACAACCACGAAUUUGGCAGCACAGCCAAUACAGCAAUUGUGCUCGUGUCAGUUAAUUAUUAUUUAAUUGUGAUAGUAUUUGACUCUAUUCUUUCAGUCACAGUUCUUGUGGAGACUUGAAGAUAGCACAGCAAUGCUUCGUUGUUGGCUUGCAUUUGGCCUUUCCUGAGAAAUUGGACUGUCGAGACAAAUGACUGUGAAAACUCGUGGUAUUUAUUUUGUAUUUAGUUAUUUGCCUAUACGAAGUGCAGGCUUCACUUUCCAUUUGAGAGUUUUUAGUUAACGCCCUGUUUGGCCUAGCAUUUAUUGUUUGCUUUAACCUUUUAACUCUGUUGGCAUUAAAGUCUGUGAACUGUCGACCCACCUCAGAUUCUCUUGCUCGACACUUGGGCCCCGUCCAAACCCGGGUGACAGUGGAGGGAAAUGGAAAGAUGACGUUUUUGGCAAGAGGUACCGCAGCAUUAGGACAAGAACGAUUAGGAUUGGAAACAGCUUCAUCCCCCAGGCGGUGAGACUACUGAGCUCCCUGCCACCACCCAGAUCACGUCAUGAAUGAAGUAGUAGUUCCUCCAGCUUGUUAUGUACCGUGGAGAGCACUCUAAUUGAUUACAUCACUGUCAGAUAUGGAGGGACAACUGUACGGGAUCAGAAAAAGUGUUCUAAGGAGGAAUGUGGUGCCAGAGAGAUGGCAUCUGCCGUUGACCUGUUGCUCCGGUGUCAGUGUGGACAUGGUGGAGGAUUACAAAUACCUGGGGAUACGAAUUGUCAAUAAACUGGACUGGUCAAAGAACAUUGAGGCUGUCUACAAGAAGGGUCAGAGCCGUCUCUAUUUCCUGAGGAGACUGAGGUCCUUUAACAUCUGCUGGACGAUGCUGAGGAUGUUCUACGAGGCUGUGGUGGCCAGUGCUAUUACGUUUGCUGUUGUGUGCUGGGGCAGCAGGCUGAGGGUAGCAGACACCAACAGAAUCAACAAACUCAUUCGUAAGGCCAGUGAUGUUGUUGGGGUGGAACUGGACUCUCUGAUGGUGGUGUCUGAAAAGAGGAUGCUGUCCAGGUUGCAUGCCAUCUUGGACAAUGACUCUCAUCCACUCCAUAAUGUACUGGUUAGGCACAGGAGUACAUUCAGCCAGAGACUCAUUCCACCGAGAUGUAACACUGAGCAUCAUAGGAAGUCAUUCCCGCCUGUGGCAAUCAAACUUUACAACUCCGCCCUCGGAGUGUCAGACACCCUGAGCCAAUAGGCUGGUCCUGGACUUAUUUCCACUUGGCAUGAUUAACUUAUUAUUAUUUAAUUAUUUAUGGUUUUAUAUUGCUAUAUUUCUACACUAUUCUUGGUUGGUGCGACUGUAACAAAACCCAAUUUCCCUCCGGAUCAAUAAAGUAUGUCUGUCUGGAGAGUUCAAGGGAACAAACCAUGCAUAUUAGCUACAGUGCAUCCUUUCUUUCAAAAAUAUGUCCACAUCAAAUAUAGUUCACUGACUAUAAAAUAGUUUGUUAAAAGAGUGAUUGUAAAUAUAGUUCAGCUGCAAUGUUUUUUAUGGUUUUCCAAAUUUACAGUUUUGAGAAAUUGAGAUUUAUUUUAGAAAAGCCUGAAGCCGGAAGUGCUGAAGUUAUAAAGAGCUGGUCCAACUUAGAGGUAUCGAGGAUGAUAAAUGGUACCGGCCAUGUUGAGAAACCAGAGAGAAUUGGAGGCAGAUUGAUGAGGUUCAGAAUUAUUGGAAAUUUUGAGAAAAGGUUUUAUGUAAGUGCCAAGCAUACUGGUGGAGAUGUAAGUACUUUUUUUACACAACUUAAGACCAUAAGACCAUGAAAUAUAGGAGCAGAAUUAGGCUAUUUGGCCAAUCGAAUCUGCUUCAUCAUUUCAUCAUGGUUGAUCCAUUUUUCUUCUCAGCCCCAUUUUCAGGCCUUCACCCCGUAUCCCUUCAUUCCCUGAUCAAUCAGGAAUCAAUCAGCCUCUGCCUUAAGUAUACUUAAAGAUUUGGCCUCCACAGCUGCCUGUGGUAAAAAAGUUCCAUAGAUUCACCACUCUCUGGCUAAAGAAAUUCCUCCUCAUCUCUGUCUUAAAAGGAUACCCCUCUAUUCUGAGGCUGUGUCCUCUGGUCCUAGACUCUCCAACUAUAGGAAACACCCUCUUCACAUCCACUCUAUCAUGGCCUUUCACGAUUCAAUAGAGUUCAAUUAGAUCAUCCUUCAUUCUUCUGAAUUCUAGUGAAUACAGGCUCAGAUCCAUCAAAUUUCUUCAUAUGAUAAGCCAUUCUCUGGAAUCAAUUUUAUGAACCUCCUUUGAACUCUCUCCACUGUCAGCACAUCUUUUGUAAGAUAAGCGACCCAAAACUGCUCACAAUACUCCAAAUGAGGCCUCACCAGUGUUUUAUAAAGCCUCAACAUUAAUUCCUUGAUGAGGCCAUAAUUGGAUUAGUGUUCUGCCUGAAAAAGGCAGGGCAGAUCAACAUGCGAAAGUGCGCUGCAUAUGCCUGAUUUGGAACAUUUUUCAUAGCUGUGACGAAAGAGUAAGUCAAUUCAUUACAUAUUUUCUUCAAAAAGCCAGAACAAACACAAUGGGCCCAGUGGCCUCCCUCUGUACUGGGGUUCUCCGAACUAUUUUCUUACCAUCGCAAAGUGGCAAUAAUGAAGGACACAACACAUCCCCUUCUCCCAUCUUUAUAUUCUGGCAUCUUCCCCCUUCUCAGUCCUGAAGAAGGGUCUCAGUCCGAAAUGUCAAUUGUUCAUUCAAUUCCAUAGACGUUGCCUGACCUGCUGAGUUCCUCGAGCGUUUUGUGCCUGUGACAUUUUGUUUGCUCAUCUCUUCAGGGAUCAGAUGCCCUGAGGAGAGGUUCAACGGGAAAAAACUAAAAAUAUUACUAAGAUUGAUUGACAAAGAAUAAGUCUGUGCAAAUUAUUCUUAACCCUAAUUCAAAAGAAGCAGCAUUGCAAAAUGCAAGCAGAUAAUGUUCUCCUGCCUAUCAACAGAUUUUAUUUAAAUUAAUUGUGACAAGUUGUAGCAAGUCUAUCCAUACAAUCGGAAGACAUUUUUACACUUCAACUUCAUGUUGAAGAAAAUCUGUGGAACAAAGACUCUAGUUGACAAGGACAAAUUUACUGCUGAGAGAACGAAUAAGUACAGGGGUGGUAGAAGUUGCAUUGACCACCAUACCUGCUAACAGCUGCAGCCAUUUAAAGACGAAGGUAACACCAACAAUGCUGUUCAUCCCAUUGUGCCUGCUUUAGUUUUUGACAUCUUUGUCUUGCCUGCUUUCCUGUGGUCAUAGAGUCACAGAAAAUAACAGUACAGAAAUGGCCCUCUUCAUCAUUUUUAUGGUAAUCUUAUUGACUGUAUUAGGCUGGUAUCAUUCUAGUCCAUUCCUAACUAAGUCACAGGGAGAUAAGGUUAUAAAGAAAGAUUUUGACACAUUGCCCUUCCUAAAUCAAAGUACUGAGUAAAGGAGAUGGAAUGUUAUGUUGAAGUUGUAUAAAACAUUGGUGAAGCCUGAUUUGGACUAUUGUGUGCAUUUUUGGCCAGCUAUCUGCAGGGAAGACAUAAAUAAGGUUAAAAGUAUCCAGAGAAAAUUUACAAGGAUGUUGCCAGGUAUCAAAGGUAUCAGAUAUCAAAGGUUUCAAAGAUACACUUAAUGUCAGAGAAAUGUAAACAAUAUACACCCUGAAAUGCUUUUCUUAUACAAGGACAAAUUGAAUAGGUUAGGACUUUAUUCCUUCGAAUGUAGAAGAUUGAGAGGAGACUUGAUAGAGGUAUAUCAAAUUAUGAGGGGUAUAGACAAGGUAAAUGCAAGCAGGCUUUUUCCACUGAGAUUGGGUGGGACUACAACUAGUACAACUAGAGGUCAUUGGUUAAGGGUGAAAGAUGAAAUGUUUAAGGGAAUAUGAGGGGAAACAUCUUCACUCAGAGGGUGGUGAGCAAUGUUCCCUCUAAUGUUCAGAGGUCAGUGUGCACAAAAAUGUUACAUUGUGCAGAUUUUUUUCCUGUGACAAAAGUAUGAGCGCACUGAAUGCACACAUGGCACAGUUUAUGUAGGUUUACAAAAUAUUUGACAUAAAACUGCACAGAAUAACAACAAAAUAACAUACAUAUUUAAGUCACUCAGUUAUUUUAACACUUGCUAAAAGAUUAUUUUAAAUAAGAAUAAUUAACAAUUACUACAUUAUUUUAGGUAAUUAACCUUUUCCGUGCACAUUAAUUUCCUUUGUGCCUGGUUGUAAAGUAUGUGUGCACAGCUGAGAAGGAACAUAGGUGGUGAGAGUGUGGAACGAGCUGCCAGCACAAGUGGUGCAUGUGAAUAUUUCAACGUUUAAGAGAAGUUUAGAUAGGUAUUUGGAUGGUAGAGGAAUGGAGGGCUAUGGUUCCAGUACAGGUCAAUGGGAGUAGGCAGUUUAAAUGGUUCAGCAUGGAUUAGAUGGGCCAAAGGGCCUGUUUCUGUGCUAUAAUUUUCUACAACUCUACCUGUUCAAUUUAAAUGUUAUAGUGGUAACUUCUGUGGUUUAUUAUUGUCACGUGUACUGAGAUAUUGUGAAAAGAUAUGUUUAACUUGCCAUCGCGUUUCAUGACGUAACUACUGUACUCUGCAGAGGUUGUAGGCACAUGUAAAUAGGUAGGGUGCUUAAGAAUUUUGCACAGUACUGCAUUCGUCAACAUGGAGCGGAGAGCAAGUUUGUAAAUCUGGCGGGAGCAAAGGAUGUUGGGUAUGGCAAAGGCGGAGUGUCAUGGGAAGGGUGUGGGACAGGUAUUAGAGGGGAGUGCCAGGGCGGGGUGGGGGGGCGGUGACACGGACGCAGACACACACACUGCCCUGAGACACCUGACAAGGUAAUUUGAUUCCAAACCAUCAGUUUAUUGAUCGUGUCUCUCUGGUGUUUCCUGCUCCCUCUCCUCUCCUCCUUCCCCUUUGCCCAACCAUGAUUCCCCUCUCCCUGCCCCCUUCCCACUCUGAGUCCACACUAGAGACCCAUAUCAGAAUCAGGUUUAUCAGCACUCACAUAUGUCAUAAAAUUUGGGGGUUUUUUUGCAGCAGGAGUGCAAUACAUAAAAUUACUACAGUCCUGUGCAAAAUUCUCAAGCACCCUAGCUACACAAUAUAUGUGCCUAAGACUAUUGCACAGUAUGGUACAACAAGGUCUUCCUAGAGCAUCUUCACCUUGUUGUGGUGGAAAGGCUUUUGAGUUCCUGAGAUCCCGAGGGCAAUGCCAUCUGGUAGGGCCCCCCGUAGUGGUAAGGUCAAGGGGGAGGUUUGAGACAAGCAGUGGUCCAAUCAGGACCCACUUAUCCUGCAGUGAAGGCCAAGCAAGGCUGCGCUAGUAAAGGGUGUGUCCCGUUGACUUGCACUCCGUGCUAUUUGACCUUGACCUCGGUCGUGUGGUGGCCGCCCAUGCAUCAGAUUCAAAUGUACUAUCACUGGCAUGUGACGUUAAUUUAUCAGCAGCAGUUCAAUGCAGUACAUAAUCUAGCAGUGAGAGAGAGAAAAAAAAUAAAUAAAGUAAGACAUAAUAAAUAAACAAGUAAAUCAAUUACAUAUAUUGAAUAGAUAUUUCAAAAUGUGCAAAAACAGAAAUACUGUACACUGUAUUAAAAAAGUGAGAUCAUGUCCAAAGUUUCAAUGUCCAUUUAGGAAUCAGAUGGCAGAGGGGAGGAAGCUGUUCCUGAAUCUCUGAGUGUGUGCCUUCAGGCUUCUGUACCUCCUACCUGAUGGUAACAGUGAGAAAAGGGCAUGUCCUGGGUGCUGGAGGUCUUUAAUAAUGGAUGCUGCCUUUCUGAGACACCGCUCCCUGAAGGUGUCCUGGGUAUUUUGUAGGCUAGUACCCAAGAUGGAGCUGACUAGAUUUAUAACCUUCUGCAGCUUCUUUCAGUCCUGUGAAGUAGCCCCUCCAUACCAGACAGUGAAGCAGCCUGUCAGAAUGCCCUCCACAGUACAACUAUAGAAGUUUUUGAGUGCAUUUGUUGACAUGCCAAAUCUCUUCAAACUCCUAAUAAAGUAUAGCCGCUGUCUUGCCUUCUUUAUGACUACAACGGUAUGUUGGGACCAGGUUAGAUCCUCAGAGAUCUUGACACCCAGGAACUUGAAGCUGCUCACUCUCUCCACUUGUUAAACAAGUCAUGCAGAGUCAUUCUCUGUAAAGGGCAACUGCUUAGGAGAACAUCCUACUUAGCCCGAGUGAUCGCUCUACAUCGAGAUAGUAGCAAGGGGGAGGCAAUUCAGAGUACGAUUACACUAACAGAGAACGUACAGUGCAGGUGACCAAGCGGUGCGAAGGUGCCAGGACCACGAGGAGGCGGGUGGGGGAGAUCAAGAGUUCAUCUAUCUCAUACAGAAGGUUUGUUCAAGAGCCUUGCUACAGUGCGAUUAAAUCUGUUCCUGAUCCUGGGAGAUUUACCUGCCAACUGAUAGGCCUUUGGAUGGUGGGUGGAAUUCGGAAUACUCGGAGAAAGCACACGUGGUCACAGAGAGAACGUGCAGACUCCCCGACAGGUUGGCUGCCUUCCUGACGCAGCAGGACGGUUAGUUUGUUCAAAAUAUUCACUGCCCUCUGUGUGGAAAAAAAUUAUCCCUGAGAUCUCUUCAAAAUUUCUCUUCUCUCACCUUAAAUUUACAUCCUCUCAUUCUAGACUGACCUAUCCUGGGAUAGAGAUUACAACUACUUAUCUUCUCUAAGCCCCUGAUGUGUAUCCCCUGCGUCUUUUCUCUUCAAGUGUUCAUUGAUUUCCUUAUGAAGGGUUUUACUGACCUCCACCACCUUUUCAGAGUGCUUUUAAGAUUACAACACUUGCUGCAUACACAUUUAAACUUUCUGGAUGGUUCCAUCGCUCCUUUAGCCAAUAACCUCAUCCCAGCAUCUCCUGGUUAAAAAUUAUUUUUAUUACUCACAUGUGCAUUGCAACAUCUAACAAUACGGUGAAACUGUUGCUAACAUCCAGCACAGUCCAAGGACGUGCUGGGGGCAGCCUGCAAGUGUGGCCACGCUUCCAGUGUCAAUGCCGCAUGCCCACAACUUACAACCUUUUCCCUGUAUCUGCGUCUUUGGACUGUGGGAGGAAACCGAAGCACCUGGAGCAAACCCGCAGGGUCACGGGGAGAGCGUACAAACUCCGUACAGGAAUUGAACCUUGAUCUGGGAUUGCUGGUGCUGUAACGUGUUGUGCUAACCAUUAUGACAUUGCACUGGCUGCUGAUGGCGCAUGUCCAGUUGCAGCGGCAACUCCGACUCCAACUAAUAGUGCAAAUGUAUAAUGCCGGAAGUGUUUACAGUUCACUUUUUAACUUGUGUCACAAACGUUUGUACUAUUUGUUAAGUUACUGGUGGUAACAUUACUUUAUGUGUUAUGUGUGAGUCCUAUGUACUGUGUUCUGCGCCUUGGUCUGCAAGGGUAUUGUUUCUUUUGGCCGUGUACGUGUGUACAGCUGAAUGGCAAUAACCUUUAACUUGAACUUGAUUCUUGAGCCUCUGCAAACUGUUUUUCUUGAUUACUCCAGUGAAGAAUUUCCCAAGCAUCUUUCUGUCACUCCAGCCCAAUAUCACACUGCAGUUCUAAUGAUUCUCUUUUGCACCUUCUACAAGCCUUAACAUUCUUCCUGAGGUUCCUGUGAUUAGAGGAUUGAUGCAAAGACCUUAAGGACAGAAAGACCCAGCACUUUGAUAAUGUAGUCUUGCAUAUUUCAGUGCUACAGUACUGUGCAAGAGUCUGAGGCACAUAAAUAGUGUAUUUAUCUCCGGUGCUUACGACUUUUACACAGAACUGUAUUUAACAACAUGGAGUGGAGAGCGAAUUUGUAAAUCUGGUGGGAACAAAGGACGUUGGGAAUAGUGAGCGUGGGACAGGUGGCAGUAAAGGUGUGUCGGGGGGGACGGGUUGUUGGUGCAGAUGCAGAUACACCCAGCCCUGAGACACCAGACAAGGUCAUUUGAUUCCAAGCAUAUUGGUUUAUUGACCAUUACAGAAUGUCUUUCUGGUGCUUCCCAAGCCCUCCCCUCUCCCUUCCCCUUCCUACUCUCAGUCUACAAUACAGACGCAUAUCAGUAUCAGCUUUAUCGUCACUCACGUAUACCAUGAAAUUUGUUUUUUUUGUGUUACACAGUAAAGUGCAAUACAUAAAAUUAAUACAGUACUGUGCAAAAGUCUUAGGCACCAGCUAUACAUAUAUACACCUAUGACUUUUGCACAGUACUGUGAAUGACUGAAAACCCAGUUAUCCUGGAGAGAACUAUAAUGACAGAUAUUUCUGGGUUAUUGAGCAUUAUAGCCACUUCCAGUCACGAGGCCUGUUUGUCUGAUGCAAUACCUGUACCAGAGGCACAUCAGGUGAUAUCACUCCAGAAAAGCGCAUUUUCAAUUGGAAAGCCACAACACAUUUCUAGACAAUUUACUUUAAUGUCCUUUCGAAAUGGAAGUACCUCCAGCAACUUAACACUUCCUGGAUUACACCUGCAGGAAGUUUUGCAUGAACUGCUCACCAUGUCAACCCGCUCCUCGCGAUCUGUUGCAUUUUUUUACUCAAGUGUUAUUUCCAAAACCCUGUUGCGCUCUUUACUUUAUCACACCGCUGUACACUUCAAUGCAGGAAAACACAAAUCAGGAAAAACUUCCAUUACUCCAGUUCCAGGCAAUUCUUCUCAAGUUUCCAAUAAGUUCAUAUGAAAGCAAUUCAGCAUGUGAAGAAAUAAACCGUCUUUCAAAAGGACCACAAACUGUUGGUAUUCUGGUAAAAAUUAGGCAGCUCCUGGGUGUACAGAAAUCAACAGGAAGCAUUAACAAAAAUCCAAACCUUUGUUCAUCUUUAAUUUGUUUCAUGUGUUCACCAUCCCUUAUUGGAAAAUGGUCAGUGGCAAAGCAGCACGGAACUCUGAAAAGUUUGAGCCUGUGCGGGAGUGUCUCUCCAGCCAGUAGUAGCUGCUUCUUUUCAUCUCCCUCCAACAAAUCUCUUUGUCCUACUUUUCGUUCAUCUGUCCUAUUAUCUCCAUGGGAGUUGGUGUCAGAUUUUAGUUUAAUUCUGAAGUACUUUGAGACAUUUUGCCACACUGAAGAUGCUUCAUAAAUGACCAGUUGUUUGCCUCUGCCCUCCUCCCUCUCAACUCUGUAGCAAUGGACAGAGCUUUGAGAUAUGAGAGCUACAACAGGCAAAGCCAUCCCUGUCAUUGAGCCCAUCUCCAUGGAGCGCUGCCACAAGGAAGUACUCUCGGACAUCAAGGACCCCCACCAUCCAGGACAUGCCCUCUUCCCACUACUGCCAUCGGGAAGGAGGUACAGGACUCACACCACCAGGUUCAGCAACAAUAAUCAGAAUCAGAAUCAGGUUUAUUAUCACCGGCAUGUGACGUGAAAUUCGUUAACUUAGCAGCAGCAGUUCAAUGCAGUACAUAA
Long non-coding RNA from Hypanus sabinus (Atlantic stingray), 13393 nucleotides. RefSeq lists it as uncharacterized. The record is from RefSeq and is a predicted model, not a curated record. Lineage: Eukaryota; Metazoa; Chordata; Chondrichthyes; Myliobatiformes; Dasyatidae. The transcript has 8 exons.